AUGAGACUUAAAGCAAUUUACCUGCUGAAACUGAGAAGACAUUGUCAACGUACGUAGUCUGAGAUAAAGCAAAGCAGAAGAAAAGCUGCAGUAUUUGGCUGUUUUUAGUGAAGAUGGCAGUUUGGAUUCUUUCUUUGACAAAGAUGACCAUGGAUUAACCUAGAACAGAAAUGCACGUUCAGGUGAAAAUGCACCAUCAUCUUGCUUGAAGAAUGUUGCAAGGAAUUCUACCACAAAAACCACAUCCACCCUUCUGACCUGCUCUAAAGAAGAGAGGAACCAAGAGUAUACCUUUCCCUCACAAGUGAGAGUACUAUAUUGGAGGUGGCCAGAAGUGAUACAGAAAGCCAGGGCUGCUUCUGAAUUAAAAAAAAAAAAAAUAUAGUUAGCUUUACAGUCAAUUCUUAAGUAGAGAUUUUUGAUUCAUUAUUUUUCAGUGGAGAACCCCAAUUAAAAAUGGAUGUUUUGUCA
Phalacrocorax carbo (great cormorant) is the source of this 471-nucleotide non-coding RNA. The record is from RefSeq and is a predicted model, not a curated record. Lineage: Eukaryota; Metazoa; Chordata; Aves; Suliformes; Phalacrocoracidae.